Non-coding RNA from Puntigrus tetrazona (Sumatra barb), 514 nucleotides. The record is from the annotation of a RefSeq genome assembly. Lineage: Eukaryota; Metazoa; Chordata; Actinopteri; Cypriniformes; Cyprinidae.
GUUUCACAAUUUCUGCCAUUUAUAAAAUUAUGUUAGGAGGCGGAGCUUAUCACAGGCCUGUAGAGCACAGGCUCAGCAAACAGCAUCACAGAUCAACAUGUUCACUUGUCUACUUAUACUGCUAACUUUAACUCAAGGAAACAGAGCUAAAGAUGUAAUCACCCCAUACAGUGAUGCAGUAUUUUCCACUGAGACUGAGAGAGUCAAACUCUCUUGUAACUACACUGGUUCUGUUGAGAGUCUUCACUGGUAUCGACAAUAUGAAGGUUCAGCACCACAGUUCCUCAUCCUGGAUUAUUCAGGAUAUGUUACUCAUGCAGAUCCUCCAGUUCCUGGAAUAUCCAUCAGUCCCAGAAAAGAAGAGAACAGUGUUGAUCUGAUCAUCUCCUCUGCUGCUGAAUCAGACUCUGCUCUGUAUUUCUGUGCUCUGCAGCCCACAGUGACAGGAAACACUCAACACACCGUACAAGAACCUGAAACACUAUUAAGUUGCAAAUUUGCAUCUUACAUGUGA